AUGUCUUGCAGCUGUGGAUCAAGCUGCGGCUGCGGCUCAAACUGCAACUGCGGCAAGAUGUACCCUGACUUGGAGAAGAGCGGCGCCACCGUGCAGGCCACCGCCGUCGUCCUCGGCGUUGGGCCUGCGAAGGUGCAGUUCGAGGAGGCCGCCGAGUCCGGUGAAGCCGCCCACGGCUGUAGCUGUGGCGCCAGCUGCAAGUGCGACCCUUGCAACUGCUAA
Molecule: ribosomal RNA, 222 nt
Filed under: Triticum aestivum (bread wheat)
Lineage: Eukaryota; Viridiplantae; Streptophyta; Magnoliopsida; Poales; Poaceae
Description: partial small subunit ribosomal RNA
Source: RNAcentral